RNAcentral lists this transfer RNA (75 nucleotides) under Clostridia bacterium. RNAcentral describes it as "tRNA-Glu". It matches the Rfam family "tRNA". From Rfam's summary of the family: Transfer RNA (tRNA) molecules are approximately 80 nucleotides in length. Their secondary structure includes four short double-helical elements and three loops (D, anti-codon, and T loops). Further hydrogen bonds mediate the characteristic L-shaped molecular structure. tRNAs have two regions of fundamental functional importance: the anti-codon, which is responsible for specific mRNA codon recognition, and the 3' end, to which the tRNAs corresponding amino acid is attached (by aminoacyl-tRNA synthetases). tRNAs cope with the degeneracy of the genetic code in two manners: having more than one tRNA (with a specific anti-codon) for a particular amino acid; and 'wobble' base-pairing, i.e. permitting non-standard base-pairing at the 3rd anti-codon position. The record is from RNAcentral. Lineage: Bacteria; Bacillati; Bacillota; Clostridia.
GGCUCCGUGGUCAAGCGGUUAAGACACCGCCCUUUCACGGCGGUAACAGGGGUUCGAUUCCCCUCGGAGUCACCA